AUACGGAGGGAGCAAGCGUUGCUCGGAAUCACUGGGCGUAAAGGGCGUGUAGGCGGGACAGCAAGUCGGGUGUGAAAGCCCUGGGCUCAACCCAGGAAGGGCAUUCGAUACUACUGUUCUUUAGUAUGACAGAGGAAAGCGGAAUUCCCGGUGUAGCGGUGAAAUGCGUAGAUAUCGGGAAGAACACCUGUGGCGAAGGCGGCUUUCUGGGUCACAACUGACGCUGAGGCGCGAAAGCUAGGGGAGCGAACGGGAUUAGAAACCCCGGUAGUCC
RNAcentral lists this ribosomal RNA (274 nucleotides) under uncultured bacterium. RNAcentral's name for it is "partial 16S ribosomal RNA". It matches the Rfam family "Bacterial small subunit ribosomal RNA", at positions 523 to 796 of the family's 1533-position model. The record is from RNAcentral.